Molecule: ribosomal RNA, 483 nt
Filed under: uncultured bacterium
Lineage: Bacteria
Description: partial 16S ribosomal RNA
Rfam family: Bacterial small subunit ribosomal RNA
Source: RNAcentral
GACGAACGCUGGCGGCGUGCUUAACACAUGCAAGUCGAACGAUGAAGCGGGUGCUUGCACUCGUGGAUUAGUGGCGAACGGGCGAGUAACACGUGAGUAACCUGUCCUUUUCUUUGGGAUAACGGCUGGAAACGGCUGCUAAUACUGGAUAUUCAGGCUGCAUCGCAUGGUGUGGUUUGGAAAGGUUUUUUCUGGGAUUGGGUGGGCUCGCGGCCUAUCAGCUUGUUGGUGGGGUGAUGGCUUACCAAGGCUUUGACGGGUAGCCGGCCUGAGAGGGUGGUCGGUCGCACUGGGACUGAGAUACGGCCCAGACUCCUACGGGAGGCAGCAGUGGGGAAUAUUGCACAAUGGACGAAAGUUUGAUGCAGCGACGCCGCGUGGAGGGUGUAGGCCUUCGGGUUGUGAACUCCUUUUUCUCGCGAAAAAGGCACAGUUUUGGCUGUGUUGAUGGCAGUGGGGGAAGAAGCGCCGGCUAACUACGUG